This 789-nucleotide long non-coding RNA is filed under the name Mus caroli (Ryukyu mouse). Its description in RNAcentral is "lncRNA (MGP_CAROLIEiJ_G0004872.1)". The record is from RNAcentral. Lineage: Eukaryota; Metazoa; Chordata; Mammalia; Rodentia; Muridae.
GAGCCGGAGCGAGAGGCGCUUCAGAGAAGGAGGGACCGACCUGCAGGAGCCGGCCGCCCCGCCGAGCUGCAGUCGCUGCCGCCGCUGCUGUCGCUGUCAGAACCCGUCCGAAGAGUGACACCUUCGCGAAAAAACAGGAGCUGUGAAACAUUUUCACUCGCAGUCUUCGGAUCCCAGGUCCCCAUUCAUGAGCCCGAGGCUGUGAGACAUGUUCCAUGUGCCAAGGGGAGUUCUCACCAAAUCUUCUGAGGCUGUCCUAGACAUACACUCUUCGAUCUGAGUCAGCAUUACCAGCUUAUCCAAGAGAAGUCCUAUUAUAUUCAUCAACAACGUCGAAAGUAGCCUACUUUAAGAGAAAAUAUGCAGAAGAAGAAGAUCUACAUCAAGGUUACCAUGGGUAUUUUCCAAAACACCUGAUAUUACCGGAAGACAGGACUUGCAUCCUCAAACUUUCCCUGGAGAAGCUCAGGUUUCUUGAAGACCCAGAAACCUACCUAAGAAGGUCUGUGUUAAUUAACAAUUUGCUGAGGAAGAUACACCUAGAGACGGAGAAAGAGAGCUAUGAAUACUUCAAGGAAGCUCCCUGCUAUAAGACUGCUUAUUCUGAUGCAAGAAAACGGCUGAAGUUUAUGGUACAGGAGUGCUGUUCCCAGUCUCUUUACUAUGAAGAGCUGCACUCCUACCACAUUGUGCCUUACACUUCGGAGAGCGCCAUCUAUGGGAUGGGCUACACUGGUGACCACUUGGAGCAAAAUUCUCAGUUGCUCAUUUAUAAAAUGAAUUAAAAAG